Molecule: ribosomal RNA, 403 nt
Filed under: Salpingoeca fusiformis
Lineage: Eukaryota; Choanoflagellata; Craspedida; Salpingoecidae
Description: partial small subunit ribosomal RNA
Rfam family: Eukaryotic small subunit ribosomal RNA
Source: RNAcentral
GCUUGUCUCAAAGAUUAAGCCAUGCAUGUCUAAGUAUAAACGACUUUAUACAGUGAAACUGCGAAUGGCUCAUUAAAUCAGUUAUAGUUUAUUUGAUAAUACCUUACUACUUGGAUAACCGUGGUAAUUCUAGAGCUAAUACAUGCUACACAACCCGACUUCUGGAAGGGUGGUACUGAUUAGAUACAAAACCAAUGCGGAGCAAUCCGGUUUGUGGUGAUUCAUAAUAACUUUGCGAAUCGCAUGGCCUUGUGCCGGCGAUGAAUCAAUCAAAUUUCUGCCCUAUCAACUUUCGAUGGUACGGUAUUGGCCUACCAUGGUUACAACGGGUAACGGGGAAUUAGGGUUCGGUUCCGGAGAGGGAGCCUGAGAAAUGGCUACCACAUCCAAGGAAGGCAGCAGG